This 480-nucleotide ribosomal RNA is filed under the name uncultured Clostridium sp. Its description in RNAcentral is "bacterial SSU rRNA". It matches the Rfam family "Bacterial small subunit ribosomal RNA", at positions 8 to 507 of the family's 1533-position model. Lineage: Bacteria; Bacillati; Bacillota; Clostridia; Eubacteriales; Clostridiaceae. The record is from RNAcentral.
AGAGUUUGAUCCUGGCUCAGAGAACGCUGGCGGCGUGCUUAACACAUGCAAGUCGAGCGAUGAAGUUCCUUCGGGAACGGAUUAGCGGCGGACGGGUGAGUAACACGUGGGUAACCUGCCUCAUAGAGGGGAAUAGCCUUUCGAAAGGAAGAUUAAUACCGCAUAAGAUUGUAAUGCCGCAUGGCAUAGCAAUUAAAGGAGUAAUCCGCUAUGAGAUGGACCCGCGUCGCAUUAGCUAGUUGGUGAGGUAACGGCUCACCAAGGCGACGAUGCGUAGCCGACCUGAGAGGGUGAUCGGCCACAUUGGGACUGAGACACGGCCCAGACUCCUACGGGAGGCAGCAGUGGGGAAUAUUGCACAAUGGGGGAAACCCUGAUGCAGAAACGCCGCGUGAGUGAUGACGGUCUUCGGAUUGUAAAGCUCUGUCUUCAGGGACGAUAAUGACGGUACCUGAGGAGGAAGCCACGGCUAACUACGUG